GGUAAAAUGGCCUCAGGCCCCAGGGAUAGAGGGGCCAAGGCUGAGAAGGAGCUUUCCCAUGUCCUGCUCAGCCGAACUGCAGCAUGUGAGUUUGCACAGAGGCUGGAAUAAGAAUUGCUUUGCUGAGAAGUCUGCCCUUGAACUUGAGGGCAGGCGGGAGCUCCAGAAGCAGGGAGCCAUAGAGCGUGUGUGUGGACGGAAGAGACUCCUAUGUAUGAGUUACAGCCAUUCCUGGCCACCCUGUUUCUGUGGAGUGUUCAUGAAGCCCUGAGCAUGGAAUCUCCAGGAUUCUAGAAUCUAGCUAAGUCUCAAAGCAAGCACAGGAGAAACCUUAUGUCUGCGAGGGAGCUGCAGGUCCAGAUGAAAGUAAACAGGUGAAGUAAGAAGAAGAAACAAGGAAAAUGGAACGACAUGUUCUGAUAAGAAGCCAAAGACAACCACAGAGGGAGACAGAGAUGGAGCUGUGGGGUGAGCCAAAGCUUAAGAGAAAGUUGCAACGCUUUGCCGGAAGACCGAAAGGGAAAUGCUAGAAGUUCAACAAUGGACUCUGAAGGCACAGACAGCCUUGGCCAAGCCACAG
This is a long non-coding RNA of Dipodomys ordii (Ord's kangaroo rat), 580 nucleotides long. RefSeq lists it as uncharacterized. The record is from RefSeq and is a predicted model, not a curated record. The transcript has 4 exons. Lineage: Eukaryota; Metazoa; Chordata; Mammalia; Rodentia; Heteromyidae.